GGGAGCUCCUAGGGAGGGGGUUGUGAGCCCAGUGCCCAGGGCAGGAAGAGGCCUGUGGAAAAGACUCUCCAGAAAGGCCAGGGGCUGAUGUGAGGCCUGACACAGCUCGCUGGCUGGCUCGGGUGACAUUGGAAAGCUCGGGAAGGGUUUGGGCCCGAAGGGCCAAAGGAGGUGGUAUUUCAUAAGGACUCAGUUGAACCCAAGGAAGAGACAUGUUACUCGUGCAGGGCCGCACUGUGCCAUGCCCUGGCGUGGGACCUUGCCACACAGUUGCUGCAGGACAGCGUUGGGAAAGGGGGCUUCAGAAAAGAGGUUUCAGAGUAGCAGCCGUGUUAGUCUGUAUCCGCAAAAAGAAAAGGAGGACUUGUGGCACCUUAGAGGCUAACACAUUUAUUUGAGCAGAAGCUUUCGUGAGCUACAGCUCACUUCAUCGGAUGUGAGAUUGUUAUUGUAUUGUGGUAGCGUCUAGGAGCCCUAGUCUUAGACCAGGACCCCAGUGUGCUAGGCACUGGACAAAUAGAACAAGAAGAUGGGCCAUGCCCUAGGGAUCCUACAGUCUAAGACAAAUUACGAAGCUAAGAUGCCUCUUUUUAUUCCUGGUUGGAUGUCCAAGUAGACCCUAAAGAUCCAAUUGCACUUUUCAAAAAGAUAUGGGUUAUGCCUAGUGCCCUGGCCAACAGCCUUCUCUCUCCAUCUCAGGGAAGCAGGUUGUAAUGUCCAAAAUUAUGUUUGAGUUCUUGCUGUUAAGCUUGCCUGUGUAGUUGUUUCACUACCAUUGUAUAUUGUUUUGUAAAAGACUCUGUAAUAUAUUGAAUAUGAAAGAUGCAUUAUACCUAUAUAUUGUUCUCCACUCCAGUUCUGACCUACCAAGAAAAAAAAAAAAGUCUGGAAAUCAAUUAGAAGCAAGAUCGUUUUGGCAGCUUCUGUGGUCUAUAGGUAGUACUCUGGCAGUGCAGGAGACCUGAUUUCCAUUUCUGGUCCCAAUUUCACAUCCAGUAAAGUAAUAUUUCUCUCUCUCUCUCUUAAGCCCUGUGUACUCUAGGGAAUUGUUACAAAAACUUCCCACCCAUUUACCUAGCUUUCUCAUUCUGGCAGCUGUUUUCAGCACUAGGUGGAAGGGACUGUCUUUAAAUGCUUUGGGCAGCACUAUUCACUUCAGUGGUGUGACAUACAAAUAUUACAAAAUACUACUACCUUAGAGGUUGGAAAUGUUCUUGAGGACAAGAGGCUUUCCCCUCUGAAGGGCAGGAGAACCUCAUGUUGCUCUCCAUUGACCCCUCGAGCUGACUAAGGAGUGACACAAUCUAGAUUCUAUCUAGAAGAUGGACUAGAAAGCAUCAACAGUUUCUGAAGGGAGUUGCAUCUGUUUUUCCACACCAACGAUGACAGUAGCCAUUGCAUAGAGUUGUGAGGGUGGGAAGUGAAUGUAAAUGGAAAAAAUGGAGAGAGACUCAGGAUUGUGACAGACAUGAAGACCCAGUGGACAAAAAAGGCAGACUUUCUUUCUGUAUUUUUCUUGAAGAUUUGUUCUCCUUUGUUUUGAGUUCUCCCUUCCAACAUCUAGGUGUGAUUACUGUAAUGCCUUGCAUCAGAUGAAGUGAGCUAUAGUUUACAAAAGCUUAUGCUCAAAUAAAUUUGUUAGUCUCUAAGAUGCCACAAGUACUCCUUUUCUUUUUGCGGAUACAGACUAACACGGCUGCUACUCCUGUAAUUCCUUACUGGCUGGUGUCUCUAUUUUGCUUACUGAAAGGUUUAGCUUAUCCAGAUUUCACUAAGCCUUUUAUUAGCACUAGACCAGCUCAACACUUAACUCAUGUUUUCCAGCUUUUUGUUGUUGUUGUCGUCAUAUGAUAGCUUUCCUUGUAGAUUUUAAGAUCUUGCUCAUGACUUAUAAGCACUCCGUGGACUGCAUUCUUUAUAUAUUUGUGUUCAGAGGUUGGAAAGAGCUGCUGCUGGCUGAUGCAUUACACUAGAACUUCUGUGGUUACCUCAUUGUUUUCUGCAGAAUUUAAACUUUUUGUUUAAAAAUGUCUAGUCCUUAUAAUCUCAAAGAAAAAUUUGAACUGAGGCAGUACUAUCUGAGUCUUCAGACAGAACAGCUUUGAGAGAUGUCAGCUAUCGCCCUUUGUCUUGAUAUCUUAAUGCUGAAACCUAAUUUUGACACAUUUUUUUAAUCAACAUUGUUAACUGUUUCACUGCUAAUGAUUUCAGCAAAAACAUCCAGCUUGUCUGGGGUUGUUGACAAAAGUUUGGGAUUGCAGAAAGAGAUUAGUGGAAGGUCGCCACUUUUAUUUUUCCAAUCUGACCCAUUUGAGCUUUUUUAGCCAUUUAGUCUCUGUCUUGGAAUCUUGUAAGUAGGAGUUAUCUGUUCCAUUGUUUAAAAUGAACCUCUUUGAAAAGAUUAUUUUCUCUUCACAUGCUUUAUCAUCUAUGGAGUGUGUUGCCUUCUGUUGUCAGGAACUCUGAUUACUUCACUGUAUUCCAAUCAUACUGUUUUCUAAACAGGGGUUAAGAGAGUUAACAAUCAAUGAAUCUUGUUCGGGGGUGGGGGGGGGGUUAAAAUUUUAAAUACCUCAUGUAAAUAGCACUGGAUAAGCUUUUAUAUUUCUAUUGUAUUUUAAAAUAUGAACCAACUGCAUGCACAUGUGAACGCAGAUACACGUGUUGUUAGUAUUAUCUCAUAAAAUUUUGUUUUCACAUUUUCACUGUACUCGCCAAACAAAAGCACAAGCUGAGUCUCUGUAAUGAAUGUGCUACUCAAUUCUGCUUUUGACUGCACAUCUAAUAGCUAUGGUUUAUACAGAAUGUUUGAUCUUGAAAGAAUCCAACAAUUUUAGAUUGUAUAUUAUAUUUUAUAUAUAAACCAUUUCCACACAAUGCUAUUGAAAAGUCGCUGUUUUGAGGAUGGAAUAUGAUAUUCCAUAUUAGACCAACAACAUUGCAUAAUUGAUUUUAGGAGGGGAAAUGAAGAACAAUCCCUCAUUUCAGCCUUUGGGGCGAAUUUUAGCAGGCAGCUGCAUUGAACAGGUCAACAAAUAUCAGAACAGAUUAUUUGGGUAUGGUCUGUGCUACAAAGGGUGAAUGCUUUAUAAAAGGUGUAAUUGCAUGAAAAACUGUGAGUGCAUACAGGAAGCUGCUAUUCCAGCAGUGCAUUGCUUUGACUCCUGCUUGGAUGCCACAAAACAUUCUUGAGAGAUGGAGGAAAACAAAGGGCAGAGUACUAGAGCCACCAGAACCCAACUCACUGCUGUAGGUGACCUGAGGAGAAGCUGGCAGAGCUGGGCAGAAGAUCACAUUGAUUAUCAGAGGCAGAAUCCAUUCAGCAAUGAUAGCAAGCCUGUGACCAAGUCUGUGCAUCCCCAGAGAGGAGAUCCCAUCUAUGGGAGACCGCCUGAAGGGUCUAAAACGGAGCAAAGAGGGAAAGAUGCCCACACACAUGUGGGAAAGGAAGUGGAAGAGCUAUGCUUGAUCAUGAGAAAUACUGGGGAGAAAGGAGAAGAUGGAAAUGUAAGAGUGACAUUCCGACAACUGUUUGAAACAUAUGUGACUAUUUCCAAUAAAGUAGUGGGGAUCCUGCUGAGAGCAAGAAAAUAUGGGCUGGUUCAGUUUGAAGGUGAAAUGCUUUGGCAAGGAAAAGAUGACAAUGUUAUCAUCACCUUACUUGAAUAAUACUGAUGAAUGUUUCCAUUUAGGAAAAUAAACUAUCUAAAUGUCAGCUUGAUAAAGGUUUAUACAGCACAGGGGUGGAAUGGAAAAAUAUGAAGAGGACAAAAAAUAUUUUCAUGGAAUCCUAGAAAUUGGAGAUAGAAAUGAUGUAAUGGGUCAACUAAUCUAUCCCUGUGCCCUUUUCCUCCACAGCUUUGUCUUGUCUACUUCUAAAUGUCUCAAGUGAGAGGGCUUCUCUUACAGCUCUGCAUAACUGAAGUUAAAAUUACUACCAGUCUGCACUGGGUCUUGUAGCAGUGAGUUUAGAAAUAAGCAGAGUAAAAUCCAUCACAGAAUGUGGUAUCUUGCUAAUGAACCACAGUUAAAUGCUUGAAGAUGAAUAAAUAAACUUGUUUCAUUAAAAAAAAAA
Long non-coding RNA from Dermochelys coriacea (leatherback sea turtle), 4075 nucleotides. RefSeq lists it as uncharacterized. Lineage: Eukaryota; Metazoa; Chordata; Testudines; Dermochelyidae. The transcript is spliced from 3 exons. The record is from RefSeq and is a predicted model, not a curated record.